This 412-nucleotide ribosomal RNA is filed under the name Bacillus velezensis. Its description in RNAcentral is "bacterial SSU rRNA". It matches the Rfam family "Bacterial small subunit ribosomal RNA", at positions 1 to 402 of the family's 1533-position model. The record is from RNAcentral. Lineage: Bacteria; Bacillati; Bacillota; Bacilli; Caryophanales; Bacillaceae.
UUUAUCGGAGAGUUUGAUCCUGGCUCAGGACGAACGCUGGCGGCGUGCCUAAUACAUGCAAGUCGAGCGGACAGAUGGGAGCUUGCUCCCUGAUGUUAGCGGCGGACGGGUGAGUAACACGUGGGUAACCUGCCUGUAAGACUGGGAUAACUCCGGGAAACCGGGGCUAAUACCGGAUGCUUGUUUGAACUGCAUGGUUCAGACAUAAAAGGUGGCUUCGGCUACCACUUACAGAUGGACCCGCGGCGCAUUAGCUAGUUGGUGAGGUAACGGCUCACCAAGGCGACGAUGCGUAGCCGACCUGAGAGGGUGAUCGGCCACACUGGGACUGAGACACGGCCCAGACUCCUACGGGAGGCAGCAGUAGGGAAUCUUCCGCAAUGGACGAAAGUCUGACGGAGCAACGCCGCGU